This is a long non-coding RNA of Gallus gallus (chicken), 499 nucleotides long. The record is from Ensembl. Lineage: Eukaryota; Metazoa; Chordata; Aves; Galliformes; Phasianidae.
CAGAAGGUGACCCCAAUGGCAGAGGUUCAGUGCUGUGCCUGUAGUGCAAGAACAGCACAGGGGUAGAGGGAGCGCUGGUGCUGCUCAUCACACAGAUGGGGAGUGCAAAUUGAAGACGUUAUCAUCUUCCAACUUCAUACACGACGUGCAAGACAGAAGAAAACCUCCAAGCCACCAGCACUUCCUCUGCAGCUUCCACAAAAGGAGGGCAGCCAAGGCAGGAGAAGUGGGGAGGCCGUUCUUCCUCCAGCCCAACCCCGAUGCGUGCUGAGCUUUUGGUUCUCCACACAACCACAGCGUGGCACGAAGCAUUACCAGCAUCUCAGACGUGGAAUGAGUUGGAGAGGACCUCAAUGACACCCACGUGCCAUCCCCAGCAGCAGGACACAGCAGCACCAGCUGCCUCCCCUGGGCCUCACCCCACUGAGCCCACUGGCAGCACAGCUUUGGCCCCUCGCUCAGCACAGCCCCAGCUCUGCAGAUCCCCCCAUGUAAGACA